RNAcentral lists this unclassified non-coding RNA (375 nucleotides) under soil metagenome. RNAcentral's name for it is "partial contains 5.8S ribosomal RNA, internal transcribed spacer 2, and large subunit ribosomal RNA". The stretch from base 1 to 120 matches the Rfam family "5.8S ribosomal RNA", at positions 35 to 154 of the family's 154-position model. The record is from RNAcentral.
GAUGAAGAACGCAGCGAAAUGCGAUAAGUAAUGUGAAUUGCAGAAUUCAGUGAAUCAUCGAAUCUUUGAACGCACAUUGCGCCCGCCAGUAUUCUGGCGGGCAUGCCUGUUCGAGCGUCAUUUCAACCCUCAAGACCCCUUCGGGGGACUUGGUGUUGGGGACCGGCACAGGGGCCUGCCUGCUUGUCUUGCAGCGCCCUCGCCGCCCCCGAAAUGAAUUGGCGGCCUCGUCGCGGCCUCCCCUGCGUAGUAGCACAAACCACGCAACGGGAACGUGACGGCGGCAACUGCCGUAAAACAACCCAAUUUUAUUAGAGUUGACCUCGAAUCAGGUAGGAAUACCCGCUGAACUUAAGCAUAUCAAUAAGCGGAGGA